UGAGAAAUCUGCCCUGGACUCUGGGAUAAGCGUUGGAAACGACGUCUAAUACCGGAUACGAGACGUGAAGGCAUCUUCAACGUCUGGAAAGAACUUCGGUCCAGGAUGAUCUCGCGGCCUAUCAGCUAGUUGGUGUGGGUAAUGGCCCACCAAGGCGACGACGGGUAGCCGGCCUGAGAGGACGAUCAGCCACACUGGGACUGAGACACGGCCCAGACUCCUACGGGAGCAG
RNAcentral lists this ribosomal RNA (232 nucleotides) under uncultured bacterium. RNAcentral's name for it is "partial 16S ribosomal RNA". It matches the Rfam family "Bacterial small subunit ribosomal RNA", at positions 118 to 347 of the family's 1533-position model. The record is from RNAcentral.